CUUUGUACAGUAAUGUCCAGUGAAACCAUUUGAAACGAUAUAUGUGGUCACAGUCAAGAACAUAAGUAUAGUUGAUUUCUUUUCAUUCGGAUAAGGCGCUGUGGAGAAGACACGUUGCUGUUAUGGCGCACUCUCUGUGCGCAGCGCGAAGAGAGUGCAGGUUUUUAUUUCAACCUAGGAAACACAUUAAGUCCAGGUGGAGGGUGUCAGAAACUCUUUAUGGAUUCCUUAUCCAAAAAUCUACAAUGCGCACCAUAUUCUGUGUGUGUUUUAGGUUUCGUUUUCCGCAGAAAGCCACACCUUACAGCUCUAAUAAAUGCUGGAAAUAGAAACUAAACUGUUGCACUCGAUCUUGGACAAGUCAAGAUGGAUGCAUUAUUCCACCUACUUGAGCAGCACAGACUGCAGUCUCACUACAGGAAAUUUUGUGAUGUUGGUGUGAAAGAUGAAAGAGAUUUCCUUGAUGUCACAGAUGAAGACUUGAACACCAUCGGAUUAAGCCAGGUGGAAAAGAAUCGUUUUUCUACCAUGAGAAACUCCAUUCGCAGACUCAGAGCUCCUGCAAACCCAGCUGCAAUGUCUGUGAAAAAGUCAAUGGAGUCAUUCUGUCUGCAGUACACAUACCCCAAAUGUCCUGAACCAAAAUACAUCA
Long non-coding RNA from Morone saxatilis (striped sea-bass), 652 nucleotides. RefSeq lists it as uncharacterized. The record is from RefSeq and is a predicted model, not a curated record. Lineage: Eukaryota; Metazoa; Chordata; Actinopteri; Moronidae. The transcript is spliced from 3 exons.